UCUCCGUAGGUGAACCUGCGGAGGGAUCAUUACUGAGUGAGGGCUUCGGUCCGACCUCCAACCCUUUGUGAACACAACUUGUUGCUUCGGGGGCGACCCUGCCGUUUCGAUGGCGAGCGCCCCCGGAGGCCUUCAAACACUGCAUCUUUGCGUCGGAGUCUUAAAGAAAUUUAAACAAAACUUUCAACAACGGAUCUCUUGGUUCUGGCAUCGAUGAAGAACGCAGC
This 227-nucleotide unclassified non-coding RNA is filed under the name uncultured fungus. RNAcentral describes it as "sequence contains ITS1, 5.8S rRNA gene". The stretch from base 179 to 227 matches the Rfam family "5.8S ribosomal RNA", at positions 1 to 49 of the family's 154-position model. Lineage: Eukaryota; Fungi. The record is from RNAcentral.